RNAcentral lists this ribosomal RNA (405 nucleotides) under uncultured bacterium. RNAcentral's name for it is "bacterial SSU rRNA". It matches the Rfam family "Bacterial small subunit ribosomal RNA", at positions 355 to 774 of the family's 1533-position model. The record is from RNAcentral.
UGGGGAAUAUUGGGCAAUGGGCGAAAGCCUGACCCAGCAACGCCGCGUGAGGGAAGAAGGUUUUCGGAUUGUAAACCUCUGUCCUCAGGGAAGAAGGAAGUGACGGUACCUGAGGAGGAAGCCCCGGCUAAUUACGUGCCAGCAGCCGCGGUAAUACGUAGGGGGCGAGCGUUGUCCGGAAUGACUGGGCGUAAAGGGCGCGUAGGCGGCCUGAUAAGUCUGGAGUGAAAGUCCUGCUUUUAAGGUGGGAAUUGCUUUGGAGACUGUUGGGCUUGAGUGCGGAAGAGGUAAGUGGAAUUCCCAGUGUAGCGGUGAAAUGCGUAGAGAUUGGGAGGAACACCAGUGGCGAAGGCGACUUACUGGGCCGUAACUGACGCUGAGGCGCGAAAGCGUGGGGAGCGAACA